CAGGUGACUGACCAAGGCGUGAAUUGGUGUGUGUUCCAAAACACUCAUCAUCCUGAAGAAAGCUAGAAAAGCAGACUUGUUUAUAGGAUGGACAUUCGAUUCUGUAAAGAAUGCGAAUCUUACUCAGUUGGGGAAACAAAUAAAGGAUUCAACCAAAGAGUGCAUGAGAUAUAUUAUCUAUAGUCGUCAAAACGUAGAUAA
RNAcentral lists this long non-coding RNA (201 nucleotides) under Lathyrus oleraceus (garden pea). RNAcentral's name for it is "Pisum sativum (pea) long non-coding RNA (PSAT_LNC000637)". The record is from RNAcentral. Lineage: Eukaryota; Viridiplantae; Streptophyta; Magnoliopsida; Fabales; Fabaceae.